This is a long non-coding RNA of Lolium rigidum, 525 nucleotides long. RefSeq lists it as uncharacterized. NCBI's taxonomy places the organism in Eukaryota, Viridiplantae, Streptophyta, Magnoliopsida, Poales, Poaceae. The record is from RefSeq and is a predicted model, not a curated record. The transcript has 3 exons.
AAAUACCUCACAAUCUCCUCGGUAUUUUGCCCCUUCGAAACCCUAAUUUUGGUGCCGCCAGGCUGCCGAAAUUUCUCGCCGGAGUUCGCGCCGCCGCCGCCGUCGCUGAGCUUCGAAGAGCACAACGCCAGGAAAACGUCGCCGGAGUUCAUCACCACCUGAGCUGCUCCAUCCACACGCAGCAGCCGCUCGGGGAGGAGAAAGAGGACGCGAAGACAGCUGCUGUGACCGCCAUCUCCUACCGCACCUCGUCGCCCCAAGCCCUUCCUUAGCACCGGCACGAGCCGCAUCCGUCGCCGGAGUUUCAUCGGAGCUGAGCUCGGUCAGUCAACCACCGUCGUUACGGAGAUGACGCCAACACGAUCGAAAAAGAACGCCCGCACGCCGUUGUCCGCUUCGCCGAGCCCAAGAACCACAGGGGCAGCAUCGGCGAAGACAUUCCCAGCAGCUCCGUCUGUCAUCCUCACUAACACCACCGAUUGUACGGAGUGCAACGAGUGCGACUGCAACGAUUGUCUGAACAAC